CUGCAACUGAAUGGUGACUAGAUU
This 24-nucleotide non-coding RNA is filed under the name Rattus norvegicus (Norway rat). The record is from RNAcentral. Lineage: Eukaryota; Metazoa; Chordata; Mammalia; Rodentia; Muridae.